RNAcentral lists this ribosomal RNA (736 nucleotides) under Helvella sp. QZ-2016k. Its description in RNAcentral is "eukaryotic LSU rRNA". The stretch from base 271 to 424 matches the Rfam family "5.8S ribosomal RNA". The record is from RNAcentral. Lineage: Eukaryota; Fungi; Ascomycota; Pezizomycetes; Pezizales; Helvellaceae.
CGUAACAAGGUUUCCGUAGGUGAACCUGCGGAAGGAUCAUUACACAGCCCACGCCCUGGCCCGUCCAGGGGCAGAUGGGGGGCGCGCGAGCGCCCGACCCCACACUCUCCGCGUACGAUUCCCUGUUGCUUCCCCGGGGAGGGACAAACCACCCCGGGGGAGGACCCCCCAAGAGCACACGAUGCCGACCAACAGACGUUUCCACCCCCCCCUUGUCUGAAGGGCCAGAGUGCCAGGAAGGAAGGAGCGAGCAAAGAGAUGAAUGCAAAAAACUUUCAACAACGGAUCUCUUGGUUCCCGCAUCGAUGAAGAACGCAGCGAAAUGCGAUAAGUAAUGUGAAUUGCAGAAUUCAGUGAAUCAUCGAAUCUUUGAACGCACAUUGCGCCCCCUGGCAUUCCGGGGGGCAUGCCUGUUCGAGCGUCUCCAGGAAGAAGACUCACGCGGCGCAAAGCGUGGUGGUGGCGGCGGCGGCGGUCCCGAGAGGGCAGCCACCCCGGCGGAAUUGAUGGGCGGACGACUGCCGCGUCCCUGAGCGUGAUAUUCUUGCUAUCGCCUCGAGCGCGGCGAGGCACCCAGCCCCGGCCAGUCGCCUCCCGCAUCGGAGAGUGUGAUAUUUUGCUAUCGCCUCCCGAGCGGCUAGGCUGCCAGCCCUGCCACCUGGGCAGGGCAGGGAGACCCAUGUCAUUGGAACUCCUCGAUCAGGGCAGGGAUACCCGCUGAACUUAAGCAUAUCAU